GCCGCCGUGGCUUAGUGGCAGAGCGGCUGAUUCGUAAUCAGCAAGUCGGGGGUUCGAAUCCCCCCGGCGGCU
Molecule: transfer RNA, 72 nt
Organism: Methanohalobium evestigatum Z-7303
Lineage: Archaea; Methanobacteriati; Methanobacteriota; Methanomicrobia; Methanosarcinales; Methanosarcinaceae
Rfam family: tRNA
About the family: Transfer RNA (tRNA) molecules are approximately 80 nucleotides in length. Their secondary structure includes four short double-helical elements and three loops (D, anti-codon, and T loops). Further hydrogen bonds mediate the characteristic L-shaped molecular structure. tRNAs have two regions of fundamental functional importance: the anti-codon, which is responsible for specific mRNA codon recognition, and the 3' end, to which the tRNAs corresponding amino acid is attached (by aminoacyl-tRNA synthetases). tRNAs cope with the degeneracy of the genetic code in two manners: having more than one tRNA (with a specific anti-codon) for a particular amino acid; and 'wobble' base-pairing, i.e. permitting non-standard base-pairing at the 3rd anti-codon position.
Source: Rfam